CCUACGGGUGGCUGCAGUGAGGAAUAUUGGUCAAUGGGCGCGAGCCUGAACCAGCCAAGCAGCGUGAAGGAUGACUGCCCUACGGGUUGUAAACUUCUUUUAUAAAGGAAUAAAGUGAGGCACGUGUGCCUUUUUGUAUGUACUUUACGAAUAAGGAUCGGCUAACUCCGUGCCAGCAGCCGCGGUAAGACGGAGGAUCCGAGCGUUAUCCGGAUUUAUUGGGUUUAAAGGGAGCGUAGAUGGGUUGUUAAGUCAGGUGUGAAAGUUUGCGGCUCAACCGGAAAAUUGCAAUUGAUACUGGCAGUCUGGAGUACAGUUGAGGUAGGCGGAAUUCGUGGUGUAGCGGUGAAAUGCGUAGAUAUCACGAAGAACACCGAUUGCGAAGGCAGCUUACUAAACUGCAACUGACAUUGAGGCUCGAAAGUGUGGGUAGCAAACAGGAUUAGAUACCCCAGUAGUC
This 460-nucleotide ribosomal RNA is filed under the name uncultured bacterium. RNAcentral's name for it is "partial 16S ribosomal RNA". It matches the Rfam family "Bacterial small subunit ribosomal RNA", at positions 338 to 795 of the family's 1533-position model. The record is from RNAcentral.